Molecule: ribosomal RNA, 465 nt
Filed under: uncultured bacterium
Lineage: Bacteria
Description: bacterial SSU rRNA
Rfam family: Bacterial small subunit ribosomal RNA
Source: RNAcentral
CCUACGGGUCGCAGCAGUGGGGAAUAUUGCACAAUGGGCGCAAGCCUGAUGCAGCCAUGCCGCGUGUAUGAAGAAGGCCUUCGGGUUGUAAAGUACUUUCAGCGGGGAGGAAGGUGUUGUGGUUAAUAACCACAGCAAUUGACGUUACCCGCAGAAGAAGCACCGGCUAACUCCGUGCCAGCAGCCGCGGUAAUACGGAGGGUGCAAGCGUUAAUCGGAAUUACUGGGCGUAAAGCGCACGCAGGCGGUCUGUCAAGUCGGAUGUGAAAUCCCCGGGCUUAACCUGGGAACUGCAUUCGAGACUGGCAGGCUAGAGUCUUGUAGAGGGGGGUAGGAUUCCAGGUGUAGCGGAGAAAUGCGUAGAGAUCUGGAGGAAUACCGGUGGCGAAGGCGGGCCCCUGGACAAAGUCUGACGCUCAGGUGCGAAAGCGUGGGGAGCAAACAGGAUUAGAUACCCGCGUAGUC